GAUAAAGAGAAGAUAGAAAAAGAUAAAGUACAAGAAAGAGAAAAGGAAAAGGAAAAGCAGCCGGAGGAACUCAAAGAUAAGGACAUAACAAAGGUUCAAGAAGCCAAAGUAGAGGACAUGCUGGAUGAAGAUGGAGCCUGUGGAGGGCCUGAGCCGAUGGAUCUUACCCCUUGCUCUCUACCUGUAAAUCGUGAGAUUCUCAGUUCUGAUGUAACCAUUUUGGAGGGACACAGCUCUGAGG
RNAcentral lists this unclassified non-coding RNA (241 nucleotides) under Hevea brasiliensis (rubber tree). Lineage: Eukaryota; Viridiplantae; Streptophyta; Magnoliopsida; Malpighiales; Euphorbiaceae. The record is from RNAcentral.